GGGGCCAUGGCUCAGUGGUAGAGCAUCUGCCUAGUAUGCAGAAGGUCCCAGGUUUGAUUCCCGGGCCGGCACCU
Molecule: non-coding RNA, 74 nt
Organism: Euleptes europaea (tarantolino)
Lineage: Eukaryota; Metazoa; Chordata; Lepidosauria; Squamata; Sphaerodactylidae
Source: the annotation of a RefSeq genome assembly